CACUGUCCGUAAUGGGACAGUACGUUCACGUGAAUACAUAGCGUGAUCGUGGCACACCCGGAGAACUGAAACAUCUAAGUACCCGGAGGAAGAGAAAGAAAAUCGAUUCCCUUAGUAGCGGCGAGCGAAACGGGAAGAGCCCAAACCAGGAAGCUUGCUUCCUGGGGUUGUAGGACACUCUAUACGGAGUUACAAAGGAAUGCAUUAGACGAAGCGAWCUGGAAAGAUCCGCCGCAGUGGGUAACAGYCCCGUAGUCGAAAGUGCAUUCCCUCCAGAGUGGAUCCUGAGUACGGCGGAACACGUGAAAUUCCGUCGGAAUCCGGGAGGACCAUCUCCCAAGGCUAAAUACUCCCUAGUGACCGAUAGUGAACCAGUACCGUGAGGGAAAGGUGAAAAGCACCCCGGAAGGGGAGUGAAAUAGAACCUGAAACCGUGUGCCUACAAAUUGUCAGAGCCCGUUAAUGGGUGAUGGCGUGCCUUUUGUAGAAUGAACCGGCGAGUUACGAUUCCAUGCAAGGUUAAGCUGAGAAAGCGGAGCCGCAGCGAAAGCGAGUCUGAAUAGGGCGCAUGAGUAUGGGGUCGUAGACCCGAAACCAGGUGAUCUACCCAUGUCCAGGGUGAAGGUCAGGUAACACUGACUGGAGGCCCGAACCCACGUAUGUUGAAAAAUGCGGGGAUGAGGUGUGGGUAGCGGUGAAAUUCCAAUCGAACCUGGAGAUAGCUGGUUCUCUCCGAAAUAGCUUUAGGGCUAGCCUCAAACGAAAGAAUCUCGGAGGUAGAGCACUGUUUGGACGAGGGGCCCAUCCCGGGUUACCGAAUUCAGACAAACUCCGAAUGCCGAUGAUUUAUGUUUGGGAGUCAGACGGUGGGUGAUAAGAUCCAUCGUCGAGAGGGAAACAGCCCAGACCACCAGUUAAGGUCCCCAAGUAUCCGUUAAGUGGAAAAGGAUGUGGCGCUGCCCAGACAACCAGGAUGUUGGCUUAGAAGCAGCCAUCAUUUAAAGAGUGCGUAAUAGCUCACUGGUCGAGUGGCGCUGCGCCGAAAAUGUACCGGGGCUAAACGGAUCACCGAAACUGUGGAUUGACGCAAGUCAAUGGUAGGAGAGCGUUCCAAGGGCGUUGAAGCUAGACCGGAAGGACUGGUGGAGCGCUUGGAAGUGAGAAUGCCGGUAUGAGUAGCGAAAGAAGGGUGAGAAUCCCUUCCACCGAAUGCCUAAGGUUUCCUGAGGAAGGCUCGUCCGCUCAGGGUUAGUCAGGACCUAAGUCGAGGCCGAUAGGCGUAGACGAUGGACAACAGGUUGAUAUUCCUGUACCACCUCCCCGCCGUUUGAGUAAUGGGGGGACGCAGUAGGAUAGGGUGAGCACGCAGUUGGUUGCGUGUCUAAGCAGUGAGGUGGAGAACGAGGCAAAUCCCGUUCUCAUAUAACACUAGGCUGUGAUGGCAAGGAGAAUUGUCUCCGGAGUCCCUGAUUUCACACUGCCAAGAAAAGCCUCUAGCGAGGCGGGAGGUGCCUGUACCGCAAACCGACACAGGUAGGCGAGGAGAGAAUCCUAAGGUGAUCGAGAGAACUCUCGUUAAGGAACUCGGCAAAAUGACCCCGUAACUUCGGGAGAAGGGGUGCUCUGGUAGGGUGAAUAGCCCGAGAGAGCCGCAGUGAAUAGGCCCAGGCGACUGUUUAGCAAAAACACAGGUCUCUGCAAAACCGUAAGGUGACGUAUAGGGGCUGACGCCUGCCCGGUGCUGGAAGGUUAAGAGGAGGGGUUAGCGCAAGCGAAGCUCUGAAUUGAAGCCCCAGUAAACGGCGGCCGUAACUAUAACGGUCCUAAGGUAGCGAAAUUCCUUGUCGGGUAAGUUCCGACCCGCACGAAAGGCGUAACGAUCUGGGCACUGUCUCAACGAGAGACUCGGUGAAAUUAUAAUAUGCGUGAAGAUGCGCAUUACCCGCGACAGGACGGAAAGACCCCGUGGAGCUUUACUGUAGCCUGAUAUUGAAUUCCGGUGCAGCCUGUACAGGAUAGGUAGGAGCCUUGGAUUCCGGAGCGCCAGCUUCGGAGGAGGCGUUGGUGGGAUACUACCCUGGCUGUAUUGGACUUCUAACCCAUGCCCGUGAUCCGGGCAGGAGACAGUGUCAGGUGGGC
RNAcentral lists this ribosomal RNA (2139 nucleotides) under Sporosarcina newyorkensis. RNAcentral describes it as "bacterial LSU rRNA". It matches the Rfam family "Bacterial large subunit ribosomal RNA", at positions 129 to 2266 of the family's 2925-position model. Lineage: Bacteria; Bacillati; Bacillota; Bacilli; Caryophanales; Caryophanaceae. The record is from RNAcentral.